Molecule: long non-coding RNA, 4002 nt
Filed under: Canis lupus familiaris (dog)
Lineage: Eukaryota; Metazoa; Chordata; Mammalia; Carnivora; Canidae
Description: lncRNA (ENSCAFG00845004565.1)
Source: RNAcentral
AUUUUCUCCCUGAUUUUGGAUGUAAAUUUGUUUGCUGGGUCAUAGAGUGAUCCCAUAGUAUAUUAUGUAACAUGUAAACUAUCUGAGGGACCUGGGUGAAGUUUACAAGGACUUUUUCAUAUGAUCUUUGCACAAUUUGUGUAUAGAAAAUUACUUCAAAAUAAAAAAGGCAACAUGAUGUGCUGUGGCUUUUAGAAAGUUCAGGUGCAGCUCUUUAUUCAUAUAGGAAUGAAGGACAUUAUAGGUAAUUCCAAAAGUCGUUCUUAAAACUGAAAUUCUUAAAACUUGUCAUCUCUUUGGUAAAUUUCUGGAACCGUAAUGGAUUAUGCCUCCACCCCAUAUAAUGUGCAGUUUACUCUGCUUUUAAGAACUGAAUCAUCAGAACCAAAGGAUUGGAUAUUUACAGUGUUGGCUUUAUUAUGCAUUGGUAGAUAUUUUGUUCUGGAGCCACUUCUAAUCCUGCAUAAAGUGGGCAGAUGGUCUGAGGAAAGGGGACGACAAAUACAGAAGCACCAUUGAAAUUCUCUUCAUGUCUAAAUGAAUGAAGCUUCCAUCUUUCCCUUAACAGCACUACUGAUGUUUUCUGCAUCUUACACCAAGAUUGGUGCCCUUAAUCUCAGCGUAUAGUUUUUCAAGUGGUAUGUCAAAUAGUUCCAACAUGAGCAAUAGCCCAAGAUCCUGGAUUCUGACCACUGAGUAAAACAACCGCAUCAGCUCUCAUUUCCACAUGUCCAAUGCAGAGGCCAAACAUCCAGCCCAGUGAACCCAUGAGGUUUCAGCGUAGGUGAACCGUCAGUGGACCAGUGUCAGACGGGAAUCUAGGAUCGCCGAGGUCUUCACAAUGCCAGGGGCUUUGCUUCAGGCUGCGGAUACGAUUCAUUCCUGUAGAGUUGAUAUGUUGCUGAUGCCAAUCGGGAUUCAUUCUUAAGUACCAUCUCUGACCAGCCAAGUCUUUUAGGAUCUUUCUGCCUUGUUGGUUGUAGGGUCCAAGUUGAUUCAUCAACAUAGGAAUGUUACAGUAGACAAUCACAAGUGCUGAAUCGGUCAGGCUUCAUUUUUUACAAAUGUUCAGUAGCAAGCUAAUGGCUGUUUUCCAAAGCAAUUUACCUGUUAUGUCAAACCUAAGUCCAAACCUCAAAGGAGUCUUCAAGAUGGGAAACUGCUUGCCUUCUUCAGAGACUCUAAAUGACAGAAUCUGGCACAGUUUUGCAUUUAGACUUCUUAUACUCCAGAAGUCUGUUGAGGGGCUGGGUCCUUUCUUUUUCUUUUCUUUUUUCUUUUCUCCUUCCUUCCUGCCUUCUGCCUUCCCUCCUUCCCUCUCUUCCUUCUUUUCUUCCUUUCUUUUUUGGGUUCCGGUAGUGGGGAAGACACAACAGUGUAUUUUUCUUUAUUGCUGGAAUGAGCAUUGCACAUUGCCUACAUAAUUCCAAUAAACUUUAACUGGAAAAGGACUCUGAAUUUGUUACAUUUUAUCAGACUUACCUAUUAGAGAAGGAAUGUCCUAGAUAGGGCUAUUGAGACUAAUGUCUCCAACUUUCCAACAAAGAAUUCAUCUACAUAGUGAAACAUUGACAGCAGGGUCAAGACAAAUGUGCUAUAUUCUCACCCGUGCACUGAUGGCAAAUGCCUGGGAGUUUGUUUCACCAGGACUGCUCUACUUUCAGCUCAUCCUGAAGAAUGUGGGUAAAUAUGGAAUCACAAAUGGUGAUGGUUGUGAAAAUUGGUAAGACAUUUUGAAAAGUAUUGGAAGUAUGAACUAAAGCUGAAUAGAUGUAAGCCUAUGACUAUGAAAUUUACUCUUACAUAUGUAACCAACAGAAGUUUAUGCAUGUGUCACCAAAGCACAAGUUCUAGAAUUUACAUAGCAGAGCUAUUCAUAAUAGCUCCACACUGAAAACCACCCAUGUGUGUAUCAAGAGUGGAAAGAUUAAAGUAAUUGCUAGAUGUUUACACAAUGGAAUUCUAUUAAAUGUUAGAGUCCACACAGUGGAACUAAUGCUAAUAAAUGACCUACAACAUGUGAUAAUAAGGAUGAGUUCACAACAUUUGGAAUGUGGAGCCAAAUACAGAAGAGUCCAUCCUAUAUAGGUCCAUUUCUAUAAAGUGCCAAAAAGGCACUUUGAAGAGUGAUCUAUGUUAAAUGUCACAUUACUGUUUACUGUGGUGGGUAGUAACUGGGAGGCUUAACAAGGAGGUUUUGGGGGCUGAAAAUCUGUGGGUUUUUUUUUUUAACUAGGAAAUGGAUACAGAGAUGUGUUCACUUUGUGCCAUUUUACUGUGCUUUGUACUUAAGACCUAUAUAUGAAUCUUUAAAAAUUGUUUUUAAAUGCCUAUCACCAACUUUUAAAAAUUCAGUAGAAGGUAAGUAGAUUGUUUUUAUGUCCUUACAUUGUUCUUGUAAAGACAUUAAAUACUACUGUAAUUUGUUUUUAAAAUAAUGUAUUCUAAUUCCUAGGUGAAACAUGAAGAUAGUAUAAAACCUAAAUAAAGGGUAGAGAAUAAUUGGAAAUUUACACAGAAGAUAGAAAAAUAAAAUAGACCAUGGGUAAUGAAGAACAUGCAAUAAAUUGGUAAAUCUAAUCCCAAGUAAACACAGUUAUAUUGAACAUAAAUGUGUAGCUCUUGUUACAUUCUAACAUUGUUGGACUCUAUUCAGUGAGGGUUUUCUCAUAAGUUAAAAUAUUAGGAUUAAAUAAAAUUAAUGAAAUACAAUUUCAUGGCAUUUUAACCUAGUAAACUGCCAACAGGACUGUAUAAUAGAGUUCAACAUAGGCUGUCAUGAUAAUUGUAAGUGGUACUAUUCCAUUUAUUAAUGUACAGUUUUUUUAAUACUAUUACUCAAUAACAAUCAGGCUGACAACUCCCCACACAUUCACACAUGCACAGACAUGUACAAAUGUGUUUCUGUAUUGCAUCUUGACUUGUGAUCUGAUGUGUGGUAAAUAUUUCUAAGUGUCCCUUAUCAUCUUAAAAAUAGUGUUUCUCAAAAAAAAAUAGUGUUUCUCUAUUUCUGUGCCACAAAAUUUAUUAUAAUAAUAUUCAUUAUGUCAAACUAAUUCUCUUAAAACUAUUGAAUCCUUAGUAUUUUAGUACAGCUUUGUUUGGUAAACACAGAGAUAGCUAUAUUAUAAUGUUUCUUCUACUUGAGUGACUAUUUUGCCCCUGUGGAAAUCCUCCUGCCACAAACUCCAACAGGAUUCUUGACUUUCCCUCUAAAUGACUGUUCCUGUUCCUACAGGUUUAGUCAAAAACUCCACUGAAUGCCCCCAGGUCUCUUUCUUUACAACAUGAGAAUUGUCAUCUUCACAUUAUACAGAAAAAUCUAUUCUCCACAGUUGCCAAAACUCAUGCCAAUUUUUCCUAGACAUUUUACCUUUUUGUCUCUCACUCACCUGAUGUCUUUUAAGCAAUUAGCCAUACAUCUUUGCACUUUCAUUUUUCCCACUGCAGUUUAAUCUGGAUGUUUCUACAGGAAAAAAAUUAUUCUCUCCCUCCAUAAAAUUAUCUUUCCAGUGACCACUAUCUCUGUAAAGUUGUAAUGUACUAAUUUCAUAACGUGGUCCCAAAUAUACCUGCUACGUGAACCUGAUUCCCACUUCCGUUUCACCCCAUUCUAUUUCAUUUUUCCCAGAGGUCAUUUUGUUCAGUUUCUUGAAUGGCCAUCUCACAUACUGUUCCUUUUCCAUGAACUUUACUAGUUAUUCCAUGUUAAUUUCUAGAUAAAUGUGUUAUGUCAAGUUGAAAGUUACACACUCAAAGACAUAAUAUCCAGGUUAUGGCAGUACCCACGUUUUAUUUCAUCGACUCUGAACUACUUCACUAUAAACAUUACAAUUAUGUGAGGAUUUAUGUAAUAAUUACAUAAUUAUAAAUGUAAAAUUACAUUUACAGUUGUGUUCAUGGUUUAUUGGACACAACUGUCUAUCCAACAUCUUGUGUAAGGUGACUGUGUCUUCACUGUAGAACUCUGAAGAGAAGUGAAUAAACAAUAGAUGCUGUGCA